This 1337-nucleotide ribosomal RNA is filed under the name Cryobacterium sp. RNAcentral describes it as "bacterial SSU rRNA". It matches the Rfam family "Bacterial small subunit ribosomal RNA", at positions 75 to 1430 of the family's 1533-position model. The record is from RNAcentral. Lineage: Bacteria; Bacillati; Actinomycetota; Actinomycetes; Micrococcales; Microbacteriaceae.
UUGCUUCUGCGGAUCAGUGGCGAACGGGUGAGUAACACGUGAGCAAUCUGCCCUUGACUCUGGGAUAAGCGUUGGAAACGACGUCUAAUACCGGAUACGACCCUCGGAGGCAUCUCCUGGGGGUGGAAAGAAUUUUGGUCAAGGAUGAGCUCGCGGCCUAUCAGCUUGUUGGUGAGGUAAUGGCUCACCAAGGCGACGACGGGUAGCCGGCCUGAGAGGGUGACCGGCCACACUGGGACUGAGACACGGCCCAGACUCCUACGGGAGGCAGCAGUGGGGAAUAUUGCACAAUGGGCGCAAGCCUGAUGCAGCAACGCCGCGUGAGGGACGACGGCCUUCGGGUUGUAAACCUCUUUUAGUAGGGAAGAAGCGAAAGUGACGGUACCUGCAGAAAAAGCACCGGCUAACUACGUGCCAGCAGCCGCGGUAAUACGUAGGGUGCAAGCGUUGUCCGGAAUUAUUGGGCGUAAAGAGCUCGUAGGCGGUUUGUCGCGUCUGCUGUGAAAACCCGAGGCUCAACCUCGGGCCUGCAGUGGGUACGGGCAGACUAGAGUGCGGUAGGGGAGAUUGGAAUUCCUGGUGUAGCGGUGGAAUGCGCAGAUAUCAGGAGGAACACCGAUGGCGAAGGCAGAUCUCUGGGCCGUAACUGACGCUGAGGAGCGAAAGCAUGGGGAGCGAACAGGAUUAGAUACCCUGGUAGUCCAUGCCGUAAACGUUGGGAACUAGAUGUGGGGACCAUUCCACGGUCUCCGUGUCGCAGCUAACGCAUUAAGUUCCCCGCCUGGGGAGUACGGCCGCAAGGCUAAAACUCAAAGGAAUUGACGGGGGCCCGCACAAGCGGCGGAGCAUGCGGAUUAAUUCGAUGCAACGCGAAGAACCUUACCAAGGCUUGACAUAUACCGGAAAAGUUCAGAAAUGUUCUCCCCGCAAGGUCGGUAUACAGGUGGUGCAUGGUUGUCGUCAGCUCGUGUCGUGAGAUGUUGGGUUAAGUCCCGCAACGAGCGCAACCCUCGUCCUAUGUUGCCAGCACGUAAUGGUGGGAACUCAUGGGAUACUGCCGGGGUCAACUCGGAGGAAGGUGGGGAUGACGUCAAAUCAUCAUGCCCCUUAUGUCUUGGGCUUCACGCAUGCUACAAUGGCCGGUACAAAGGGCUGCAAUACCGUAAGGUGGAGCGAAUCCCAAAAAGCCGGUCUCAGUUCGGAUUGAGGUCUGCAACUCGACCUCAUGAAGUCGGAGUCGCUAGUAAUCGCAGAUCAGCAACGCUGCGGUGAAUACGUUCCCGGGCCUUGUACACACCGCCCGUCAAGUCAUGAAAGUCGGUAACACCCGAAGCCAG